Molecule: ribosomal RNA, 425 nt
Filed under: uncultured Clostridium sp.
Lineage: Bacteria; Bacillati; Bacillota; Clostridia; Eubacteriales; Clostridiaceae
Description: bacterial SSU rRNA
Rfam family: Bacterial small subunit ribosomal RNA
Source: RNAcentral
UGAGGGAAUAUUUGGCACAAUGGAGGGAACUCUGAUGCAGCGACGCCGCGUGAGGGAAGAAGGUUUUCGGAUUGUAAACCUCUGUCCUCGGUGACGAUAAUGACGGUAGCCGAGGAGGAAGCUCCGGCUAACUACGUGCCAGCAGCCGCGGUAAUACGUAGGGAGCAAGCGUUGUCCGGAAUUACUGGGUGUAAAGGGAGCGUAGGCGGGAUUGCAAGUUGAAUGUUUAAUCUAUGGGCUCAACCCAUAUCAGCGUUCAAAACUGCAGUUCUUGAGUGAAGUAGAGGCAAGCGGAAUUCCUAGUGUAGCGGUGAAAUGCGUAAAUAUUAGGGGGGAACACCAGUGGCGAAGGCGGCUUGCUGGGCUUUAACUGACGCUGAGGCUCGAAAGCGUGGGUAGCAAACAGGAUUAGAUACCCUGGUAGU